GUGGGGAAUAUUGGACAAUGGGCGAAAGCCUGAUCCAGCCAUGCCGCGUGUGUGAAGAAGGUCUUCGGAUUGUAAAGCACUUUAAGUUGGGAGGAAGGGCAGUAAGUUAAUACCUUGCUGUUUUGACGUUACCGACAGAAUAAGCACCGGCUAACUUCGUGCCAGCAGCCGCGGUAAUACGAAGGGUGCAAGCGUUAAUCGGAAUUACUGGGCGUAAAGCGCGCGUAGGUGGUUUUGUAAGUUGGAGGUGAAAUCCCCGGGCUCAACCUUUGAACUGCCUUUGAAACUCCUGGUCUUGAGGUCGAGAGAGGUGAGUGGAAUUCCGAGUGUAGAGGUGAAAUUCGUAGAUAUUCGGAGGAACACCAGUGGCGAAGGCAAUCCCCUGGGCCUGCACUGACGCUCAUGCAUGAAAGCGUGGGGAGCAAACAGGAUUAGAAACCCCAGUAGUCC
Molecule: ribosomal RNA, 450 nt
Filed under: uncultured bacterium
Lineage: Bacteria
Description: partial 16S ribosomal RNA
Rfam family: Bacterial small subunit ribosomal RNA
Source: RNAcentral